GCGCGAGUGGCGGAAUUGGUAGACGCGCACGGUUCAGGUCCGUGUCCCAGUGAUGGGGUAGGGGUUCAACUCCCCUUUCGCGCAC
This 85-nucleotide transfer RNA is filed under the name Mobiluncus curtisii. RNAcentral's name for it is "tRNA-Ser(cag)". It matches the Rfam family "tRNA". From Rfam's summary of the family: Transfer RNA (tRNA) molecules are approximately 80 nucleotides in length. Their secondary structure includes four short double-helical elements and three loops (D, anti-codon, and T loops). Lineage: Bacteria; Bacillati; Actinomycetota; Actinomycetes; Actinomycetales; Actinomycetaceae. RNAcentral also lists the same sequence under 2 other names. The record is from RNAcentral.